RNAcentral lists this ribosomal RNA (858 nucleotides) under uncultured archaeon. RNAcentral's name for it is "bacterial SSU rRNA". It matches the Rfam family "Archaeal small subunit ribosomal RNA", at positions 12 to 872 of the family's 1478-position model. The record is from RNAcentral.
UCCUGCCGGAGGCUACUGCUAUCGGGGUUCGAUUAAGCCAUGCGAGUUAAAUGUUCUUCGUGAACAUAGCGAACUGCUCAGUAACACGUGGAUAACCUACCCUUAGGACCGGAAUAACCCCGGGAAGCUGGGGAUAAUACCGGAUAAGCCAUAGACGCUGGAAUGCCCUAUGGUUCAAAGNUCCGGCGCCUAAGGAUGGAUCUGCGGUCUAUCAGGUUGUAGUGGGUGUAACGUACCUACUAGCCGACGACGGAUACGGGUUGUGAGAGCAAGAGCCCGGAGAUGGAUUCUGAGACACGAAUCCAGGCCCUACGGGGUGCAGCAGGCGCGAACACUUUACAAUGCGGGAAACCGCGAUAAGGGAACCCCGAGUGCCAGCAUCAAAUGUUGGCUGUCCAGAUGGUUAAAAAUCAUUUGUUAGCAAGGGCCGGGCAAGACCGGUGCCAGCCGCCGCGGUAACACCGGCGGCCCGAGUGGUAGCCGUUUUUAUUGGGUCUAAAGGGUCCGUAGCCGGCCUGAUAAGUCCUUUGGGAAAUCUGACGGCUUAACUGUCAGGCUUCUAAGGGAUACUGUCAGGCUUGGGACCGGAAGAGGUAAGGGGUACUCCAGGGGUAGGAGUGAAAUCUUGUAAUCCCUGGGGGACCAUCUGUGGCGAAGGCGCCUUACCAGAACGGGUCCGACGGUGAGGGACGAAAGCUAGGGGAGCAAACCGGAUUAGAUACCCGGGUAGUCCUAGCUGUAAACGAUGCUCGCUAGGUGUCAGACACGGUGCGACCGUGUUUGGUGCCGCAGGGAAGCCGUUAAGCGAGCCACCUGGGAAGUACGGUCGCAAGGCUGAAACCUAAAGGAAUUGGCGGG